UUAUACCGUGAAACUGCGAAUGGCUCAUUAAAUCAGUUAUCGUUUAUUUGAUAGUACUUACUACUUGGAUAACCGUGGUAAUUCUAGAGCUAAUACAUGCUGAAAACCCCAACUUCGGGAGGGGUGUAUUUAUUAGAUAAAAAACCAACGCCCUUCGGGGCUUCUUGGUGAUUCAUGAUAACUUUACGGAUCGCAUGGCCUUGCGCCGGCGACGGUUCAUUCAAAUUUCUGCCCUAUCAACUUUCGAUGGUAAGGUAUUGGCUUACCAUGGUUUCAACGGGUAACGGGGAAUUAGGGUUCGAUUCCGGAGAGGGAGCCUGAGAAACGGCUACCACAUCCAAGGAAGGCAGCAGGCGCGCAAAUUACCCAAUCCCGACACGGGGAGGUAGUGACAAUAAAUACUGAUACAGGGCUCUUUUGGGUCUUGUAAUUGGAAUGAGUACAAUUUAAACCUCUUAACGAGGAACAAUUGGAGGGCAAGUCUGGUGCCAGCAGCCGCGGUAAUUCCAGCUCCAUAGCGUAUAUAAAAGUUGUUGCAGUUAAAAAGCUCGUAGUUGAAACUUGGGUCUGGCUGGCAGGUCCGCCUCACCGCGUGUACUUGUCCGGCCGGGCCUUCCUUCUGGAGAACCUCAUGCCCUUCACUGGGCGUGUUGGGGACCAGGACUUUACUUUGAAAAAUUAGAGUGUCAAAGCAGGCCUUUGCUCGAAUACGUAGCAUGAAUAUAGAAUAGACGUGCGGUCAUAUUUUGUGGUUCUAGACGCGUAUGAUAUAGGACAGUCGGGGCAUCAGUAUCAUGUCAAAGGUAAU
RNAcentral lists this ribosomal RNA (808 nucleotides) under Pyrenochaetopsis sp. MUT 4941. RNAcentral describes it as "SSU rRNA". It matches the Rfam family "Eukaryotic small subunit ribosomal RNA", at positions 74 to 915 of the family's 1831-position model. The record is from RNAcentral. Lineage: Eukaryota; Fungi; Ascomycota; Dothideomycetes; Pleosporales; Pyrenochaetopsidaceae.